GGCUCCAUGGUCUAGCUGGUUAGUGACGCGGCCCUUUCAAGGCUGUAACGCGGGUUCAAUCCCCGCUGGAGCUA
RNAcentral lists this transfer RNA (74 nucleotides) under Agathobacter rectalis M104/1. Its description in RNAcentral is "tRNA-Glu (TTC) (tRNA-Glu-TTC-1-1)". It matches the Rfam family "tRNA". Rfam says of the family: Transfer RNA (tRNA) molecules are approximately 80 nucleotides in length. Their secondary structure includes four short double-helical elements and three loops (D, anti-codon, and T loops). The record is from RNAcentral. Lineage: Bacteria; Bacillati; Bacillota; Clostridia; Lachnospirales; Lachnospiraceae.